Molecule: ribosomal RNA, 476 nt
Filed under: uncultured bacterium
Lineage: Bacteria
Description: SSU rRNA
Rfam family: Bacterial small subunit ribosomal RNA
Source: RNAcentral
AGAAUCAACGCUGGCGGCGUGCCUAACACAUGCAAGUCGAACGAGAAAGUGGAGCAAUCCAUGAGUAAAGUGGCGACCGGGCGAGUAACACGUGACUAACCUACCCUAGAGUGGGGAAUAACUUCGGGAAACCGAGGCUAAUACCGCAUAACAUCGCAGAGGGAAGCUCUUUGCGAUCAAAGGAGUAAUUCGCUCAAGGAGGGGGUCGCGGCUGAUUAGCUAGUUGGUGAGGUAACGGCCCACCAAGGCUAAGAUCAGUAUCCGGCCUGAGAGGGCGCGACGGACGACACUGGAACUGAAACACGGUCCAGACUCCUACGGGAGGCAGCAGUGGGGAAUUUUGCGCAAUGGGGGAAACCCUGACGCAGCAACGCCGCGUGGAGGAUGAAGUCCCUUGGGAUGUAAACUCCUUUCGAUCGGGACGAUUAUGACGGUACCGGAAGAAGAAGCACGGCUAACUUCGUGCCAGCAGCCGC